This 506-nucleotide ribosomal RNA is filed under the name uncultured bacterium. RNAcentral describes it as "bacterial SSU rRNA". It matches the Rfam family "Bacterial small subunit ribosomal RNA", at positions 18 to 518 of the family's 1533-position model. The record is from RNAcentral.
UCUGGCUCAGGAUGAACGCUAGCGGCAGGCUUAACACAUGCAAGUCGAGGGGCAACGCGAGUAGCAAUACUUGGCGGCGACCGGCGCAAGGGUGCGUAACGCGUGAGCAACAUGCCCGUAUCAGGGGGAUAAUCCAGGGAAACUUGGUCUAAUACCCCAUAGUAAUUUUGUAAGGCAUCUUAUAAGAUUUAAAGCUUUGGUGGAUACGGAUUGGCUCGCGUGACAUUAGCUGGAUGGUAAGGUAACGGCUUACCAUGGCUAUGAUGUCUAGGGGUUCUGAGAGGAAGGUCCCCCACACUGGAACUGAGACACGGUCCAGACUCCUACGGGAGGCAGCAGUGAGGAAUAUUGGACAAUGGAUGGAAAUCUGAUCCAGCCAUGCCGCCGUGAAGGAAGAAGGUCCUAUGGAUUGUAAACUUCUUUUGUAUGGGAGCAAUAAGGCCUACGAGUAGGUUGAUGAGAGUACCAUACGAAUAAGCACCGGCUAACUCCGUGCCAGCCGCCGC